Molecule: long non-coding RNA, 149 nt
Organism: Octopus sinensis (East Asian common octopus)
Lineage: Eukaryota; Metazoa; Mollusca; Cephalopoda; Octopoda; Octopodidae
Exons: 3
Source: RefSeq, a predicted model, not a curated record
CAGGGCAGGGUGGGCAUCUUGAAAGUCUUUCAGAAAUUCUAUUAAUCAUCUUCUCAUUAGUCCACAGAAUAGACAGAGAUUCCUCAAAGCAGAAUCUGCAUCUCCUGGAAAUGUUAUUGUAUGGCUUUGCAUGCCUUACUAUGGACCAA